Molecule: ribosomal RNA, 403 nt
Filed under: uncultured bacterium
Lineage: Bacteria
Description: bacterial SSU rRNA
Rfam family: Bacterial small subunit ribosomal RNA
Source: RNAcentral
UGGGGAAUCUUGCGCAAUGGGCGAAAGCCUGACGCAGCAACGCCGCGUGCGGGAUGAAGGCCUUCGGGUUGUAAACCGCUUUCAGCAGGGACGAAAUUGACGGUACCUGCAGAAGAAGCCCCGGCCAACUACGUGCCAGCAGCCGCGGUAACACGUAGGGGGCAAGCGUUGUCCGGAUUUAUUGGGCGUAAAGAGCUCGUAGGCGGCUCGGUAAGUCGGGUGUGAAACCUCCAGGCUCAACCUGGAGACGCCACCUGAUACUGCUGUGGCUAGAGUCCGGUAGGGGAGUGUGGAACUCCUGGUGUAGCGGUGAAAUGCGCAGAUAUCAGGAAGAACACCAGCGGCGAAGGCGGCACUCUGGGCCGGAACUGACGCUGAGGAGCGAAAGCGUGGGUAGCAAACA